RNAcentral lists this ribosomal RNA (492 nucleotides) under uncultured bacterium. RNAcentral's name for it is "partial 16S ribosomal RNA". It matches the Rfam family "Bacterial small subunit ribosomal RNA", at positions 29 to 507 of the family's 1533-position model. The record is from RNAcentral.
AGUGAACGCUGGCGGUAGGCCUAACACAUGCAAGUCGAACGGCAGCACAGUAAGAGCUUGCUCUUACGGGUGGCGAGUGGCGGACGGGUGAGGAAUACAUCGGAAUCUACUUUUUCGUGGGGGAUAACGUAGGGAAACUUACGCUAAUACCGCAUACGACCUACGGGUGAAAGCAGUGGAUCUUCCGACCUUGCGCGAUUGAAUGAGCCGAUGUCGGAUUAGCUAGUUGGCGGGGUAAAGGCCCACCAAGGCGACGAUCCGUAGCUGGUCUGAGAGGAUGAUCAGCCACACUGGAACUGAGACACGGUCCAGACUCCUACGGGAGGCAGCAGUGGGGAAUAUUGGACAAUGGGCGCAAGCCUGAUCCAGCCAUACCGCGUGGGUGAAGAAGGCCUUCGGGUUGUAAAGCCCUUUUGUUGGGAAAGAAAAGCAGCAGGUUAAUACCCCGCUGUUCUGACGGUACCCAAAGAAUAAGCACCGGCUAACUUCGUG